This 737-nucleotide ribosomal RNA is filed under the name uncultured cyanobacterium. RNAcentral's name for it is "bacterial SSU rRNA". It matches the Rfam family "Bacterial small subunit ribosomal RNA", at positions 484 to 1221 of the family's 1533-position model. Lineage: Bacteria; Bacillati; Cyanobacteriota. The record is from RNAcentral.
GAAUAAGCAUCGGCUAACUCUGUGCCAGCAGCCGCGGUAAUACAGAGGAUGCAAGCGUUAUCCGGAAUGAUUGGGCGUAAAGAGUCCGUAGGUGGUCAUGUAAGUCUGUGGUUAAAGAGUGGAGCUCAACUCCAUAAGGGCCAUAGAAACUACAAGACUAGAGUAAGGUAGGGGUAGAGGGAAUUCUCGGUGUAGCGGUGAAAUGCGUAGAUAUCGGGAAGAACACNNNNNNCGAAGGCGCUCUACUGGACCUUAACUGACACUGAGGGACGAAAGCUAGGGGAGCGAAAGGGAUUAGAUACCCCUGUAGUCCUAGCCGUAAACGAUGGAUACUAGUUGUUAUGGGUAUCGACCCCGAUAGUGACGAAGCUAACGCGUUAAGUAUCCCGCCUGGGGAGUACGCACGCAAGUGUGAAACUCAAAGGAAUUGACGGGGGCCCGCACAAGCGGUGGAGUAUGUGGUUUAAUUCGAUGCAACGCGAAGAACCUUACCAAGGCUUGACAUCCUACGAAGGUCGGCGAAAGUUGACUGUGCCUUAGGGAACGUAGAGACAGGNGGUGCAUGGCUGUCGUCAGCUCGUGUCGUGAGAUGUUGGGUUAAGUCCCGCAACGAGCGCAACCCUCGUCCUUAGUUGCCAGCAUUAAGUUGGGCACUUUAGGGAGACUGCCGGUGACAAACCGGAGGAAGGUGGGGAUGACGUCAAGUCAGCAUGCCCCUUAUGUCUUGGGCUACACAC